CCUACGGGGGGCAGCAGUGAGGAAUAUUGGUCAAUGGACGAGAGUCUGAACCAGCCAAGUAGCGUGAAGGAUGACUGCCCUAUGGGUUGUAAACUUCUUUUAUAUGGGAAUAAAAUGUUCCACGUGUGGGAUUUUGUAUGUACCAUAUGAAUAAGGAUCGGCUAACUCCGUGCCAGCAGCCGCGGUAAUACGGAGGAUCCGAGCGUUAUCCGGAUUUAUUGGGUUUAAGGGGAGCGUAGGUGGAUUGUUAAGUCAGUUGUGAAAGUUUGCGGCUCAACCGUAAAAUUGCAGUUGAAACUGGCAGUCUUGAGUACAGUAGAGGUGGGCGGAAUUCGUGGUGUAGCGGUGAAAUGCUUAGAUAUCACGAAGAACUCCGAUUGCGAAGGCAGCUUACUGGACUGCAACUGACACUGAGGCUCGAAAGUGUGGGUAUCAAACAGGAUUAGAUACCCCAGUAGUC
This 460-nucleotide ribosomal RNA is filed under the name uncultured bacterium. RNAcentral's name for it is "partial 16S ribosomal RNA". It matches the Rfam family "Bacterial small subunit ribosomal RNA", at positions 338 to 795 of the family's 1533-position model. The record is from RNAcentral.